Long non-coding RNA from Monodelphis domestica (gray short-tailed opossum), 714 nucleotides. RefSeq lists it as uncharacterized. NCBI's taxonomy places the organism in Eukaryota, Metazoa, Chordata, Mammalia, Didelphimorphia, Didelphidae. The record is from RefSeq and is a predicted model, not a curated record.
CACAGAAGUUCCAUUGGUCUUGUAACAGUCUAGUUCUAGACCUCAAGAAUUAGAAAUGAAGUUACCUCUACCUCUACUCUCACUACAGAUUUAUAAAUUGUACCCAAACAAAUGGUCGCCUACUCACUCACAGAGGACUGAUAUGAAGAGCCAUGCACUUCCUUUCACCACCACUCUUAAAUCUUAGGACUCUGCUCUAUAUGUGUCGCUUUUACUCAGAAUGAAUGUAAAGGGAAGUAUAAACAGGGAGUAGGGGGGUAACCAGGGAAAUAGCUAAGAGAUUUUUGCUUAUUUCAGGUCAGAUUUUGCUUGGGUUUUUCCCUUUCUGUUCCCCCAGACCAUCAGUCAGGACAUCAAAUUUGCUCAGAUUUAUCACCUUCCUGCUUGAAGUCUCCCAGCUUCCUCCUCCCCACAGCCCGACCUCUUCUGGCCACAUACUCUUCUAGAGAUUGACAUUCCUCUCCUUACACAAGUACAGGGGAAGAACUGAACACAACUGGAGCCCCGAGUCCUCAAGAAACUGACAAGAGAAGGCAGGACUGGGGGCCAAGGCAUCUCUUAAAACAACCAAAGGAUUCUGACAUGACAUAGUGAAAAUGAUCCUGGAGAAAACAAAGUCAGCGCUGCGAUUGACUAGACAGAUCCACUACCUAUUGACUUGGGGCUACGUCCUCUGGAGGCCCUAAAAAUAAUAAAAAUAAAAAUGCACCCUCA